AUUGAACGCUGGCGGCAGGCCUAAUACAUGCAAGUCGAACGAGUGGCGGACGGGUGAGUAAUGUCUGGGAAACUGCCCGAUGGCGGGGGAUAACUACUGGAAACCGUAGCUAAUACCGCAUACCAUCGGAUGUGCCCUGAUGGGAUUAGCUAGUAGGUGGGGUAAUGGCGCACCUAGGCGACGAUCACUAGCUGGUCUGCGAGGAUGACCAGCAACACGGGAACUGAGACACGGUCCAGACUCCUACGGGAGGAAGCAGUGGGGAAUAUUGCACAAUGGGCGCAAGCCUGAUGCAGCCAUGCCGCGUGGAUGAAGAAGGCCUUCGGGUUGUAAAGUACUUUCAGCGAGGAGGCGUUACUCGAAGAAGAAGCACCGGCUAACUCCGUGCCAGCAGCCGCGGUAAUAC
RNAcentral lists this ribosomal RNA (406 nucleotides) under uncultured bacterium. RNAcentral describes it as "partial 16S ribosomal RNA". It matches the Rfam family "Bacterial small subunit ribosomal RNA", at positions 30 to 526 of the family's 1533-position model. The record is from RNAcentral.